Molecule: long non-coding RNA, 1795 nt
Organism: Homo sapiens (human)
Lineage: Eukaryota; Metazoa; Chordata; Mammalia; Primates; Hominidae
Source: Ensembl
UUGUCACCCAGGCUGGAGUGCAGUGUGAGACCCUGACUAAAGAGAAAAAAAUUAAUAAAAUGUUAUUUCAUAAGAACAAAAAACACAUUUUUAAAUCAAAUACCUAUGUAAAGAAAUUAUUGAUAUUUACAUAGUAUAUAUGGUCUAUAUUCCUUUUUUUAAAGCUACAUAUAGGUCUUGAAAUAAUUCAAAUCCAUUACAAUUAUCGAAAAUACAAGUAAAAAAUAAAAUAUUUUUAUAUUAAUUAAAAGAUUGGUAAAGUUUUAAAAUCUCUUAGCAACAUAAAAUUAGAAUUCCUGGCUAAUGGUUCAUCUUCUUAAUAUUCAAACCCAUCACAUUUAUUAAGACAAAUUAUUAAAUGAGAUGACUGGUAUCUAUUCAUAAUAUUAAGUAAGUCAUUGUUUAAAAUUUGAAAACUGAAAGAAAAUAAAUAAGUUUCUGAGUCAGGCAUGGUGGCUCACACCUGUAAUCCCAGCUACUUGGGAGGUUGAGGCAGGAGGAUUGUUUGAGGCCAGGAAUUCUAGGUUGCAAUGAGCUAAGAUGGUGCCACAGCACUCCAGCCUGGUUGACUGAGCAAGACCUCAUUUCUAUAAAUAAGUAAAAUAAAUUCAUUUCUCAUACGCAACACCUCAAGAUUCUAACUGUAAAUCAAAAUAAGAUAUCAAUUUCAUUUUAAAAUGUUUGACUUAUUUUAAGUUACAUUAUUUUGGUUAAAUAAUACAGUUUAUAUUGUAUAAAUUUUGUGAUAUAUAAGUCUACCUUUUUUUGGUGCCAAAACAGAAGUGAUAUAACUUUAUAUACCAUCUUCAAACUUAAUGAGAAUAAGCCUAUAUAACCUAGCAACUAAUUUUAAAUAAUACUAAGCCCCAUCUUAAGCCUGGUUUUCAAUUUUAACAUCUGAUUAAUUUCUUCCAAAAUUUAUACAUAAAAUAUUCUGGGAAAAAAGUAUAAAAUGUCUAACUAUUCCUAUUGUGUAAUUACUACUCUGAAGUUAGCUGUGCCAAUUUUCAAGGUUUCCUUCAUAAGUAAGGGAGUGUAAUGUAUAAAAGCCAUAGUAAAAUAUAAUUUCCCAGUCUGAAGCAGAUAUGUUUCUGAAAACACUGAGAUAAGAAAACGAUUAGGAUUUAAGUUGUGAAGGGAAAAAAAAUAGUUUUAGGCAGAACCCUAAGAAGACAGUUUUUAGAUUCACUAAAAUGAAGAUUGUAUUAAAUAAAGAGGAUAAGAGUAAAUUUAAUUAGUAAUAAUAAAUACUAUAUGAUUUACAAUUCCUUGAUCACUAGAAAUUUUUCAGGAUCUCCCAUUUUCAUAGCUUCAAUAAAAUGCUUGCAAAUUCAUUUUUGGUUUGUUAAACAUAAUAGGCACAUCAAGAAGGCGAUUUUUAAAAAGUCUAACCUCAUUCCUAAUGUUUAAACUUUUCAGAUCUUAUGAUUUUCAGUUAACCUCAUCUCUCUCUUUUUUUUUUUUUUUGAGAUGGAGUCUCACUCUGUCACCCAGGCUGGAGUGCAGUGGCUCCAUCUCAGCUCACUGCUACCUCCACUUCCCAGGUUCAUGUGAUUCUCCUUCCUCAGCCUCCCAAGUAGCAGGGAUUACAGGCACCUGCCACCACGCCUGGCUAAUUUUUGUAUUUUUAGGAGAGACGGGGUUUUGCAAUGUUAGCCAGGCUGAUCUCGAAGGCCUGACCUCAAGUGAUCUGCCCACGUCGGGCUCCCAAAGUGCUGGGAUUACAGGCGUGAGCCAUUGAUCCGGCCAAUCUCAUUUCUUGAACCUCUUCAUCCCCAGUCACAGAGAUGCAAAA